Long non-coding RNA from Harpia harpyja (harpy eagle), 1671 nucleotides. RefSeq lists it as uncharacterized. Lineage: Eukaryota; Metazoa; Chordata; Aves; Accipitriformes; Accipitridae. The transcript has 2 exons. The record is from RefSeq and is a predicted model, not a curated record.
CUAAACAUGUCAUCAGCAUUUCAGUCCCCGAAGCCAAACCUUUUGUCAAAGCUGACAUCUCGGAGCUUUGUGACAUAGGUGUUUGUACAGAUAAACCCUUUCGGCCAAAAGUACUUUUAUGUUGAAGUAAGUGCUCACUUUUUGUAUUUUUCCAGCAUACACGUAUUUUUUCAAAUUCUGUGAGUAACACUCAGGGACUGUUAGACAGGGAGAAAUCACAGGUUAUGGAUGGUAUUGUCAAGUUGUUCAAGUCAAUGAUUGAACAGUGCAAUUCAUCACUUCACUGCCAUGCGCUAGAUCAGGGGUUCUUUCUCCUUUGUUAGCUUUUCAAAGAUAUGGGGUCCAGAAAGGAUGUUACUGUUUUGCUCCUAUUUCAGAAUUACUCGUGAACAAAGCAGUUUUUUACCCACAGAAAAAAAAUGCAGCUUGUAUGGUUGAAAUAGUAAAGUGAGUUGUAUUUAACUUAAUUACAAUAAUAAUGAAAAUACACUCUCUUGAGGAUAGUAAGGCCUUUAGCUAGCUUUAGUUCCAGUCCGACAAAGACAAACCAAUUUAAAAUUUACAGUGGAUAUCAACAUUGCUAGUAAAGAAGCCCAAAAAGAAGCUUAGGCUAAUACGGCUAUGUUCAGCAUUUAAAAAAUAACCUAUUUUCCAUUAUUAUAAGAAAGGGGACUUUUGUAAAUUCAAAUAAAAUCAAAGAUUCUAUUUUAUGACUUGGAGAAUGUUUCUUUUCUUAAGUUGUUCACAACGUAUAAUUAGAACUGUAGUGUACUUUACUACAUGCUGCACAAGAGAUUAUCUGUCUCACAGUGGCACACUGUUUCACAAGCCAAGAGUGACUGACAGAGAACUCUCAAUCUGUUACUAUAUGUUUUCUACCAUUCAAAAAAUAGUUGCCAAACUUAAUCCUAUGAACAAAGCAGAUAAAAAAAAGACAUAACUUAUAAUUUUAAAACUUAAAGGUUAGUGGUUUUUUUAAUUGGUUCCCUUUGUAGCCCUUUUAAUAAACAGAAAACAAGCAGAGCACUUACUUGUACAGUAACCAGCUACAAACCCCCUUCCUCUAACACACACACCCACACUUUUGCAGACGGCUCUACUGUAGGUACAAUAGCACUGUACAAUUCACAAACCAGCAAUUUGUGUCAUGAAGUACUGAACUGUCAAAAAAUAAUGUAAUCACUAAUAAAGAUAUAGGACAUAAAAUAAUUUGUGAUUAAAAGGUCAUGGAUAUUUUUCAAUUGGACUUUUAUCAUAACAUCAUAAAAAAAGUCUUAUGUUCAUGCAAGUGCUACAGUGGAAAAGUCUAAAUAUUUUUUCGCUAUUGGUAUGUGUUUGAUGUAUAGUGAUGCAUGAUAUAUCUCAUUAGAAUUUAAAUACAUACCUUAACUUUUAUUAAAUACAAGGUUGAAGCUUUGUAAGGUCAUAAUAUGUAGCAGUGCAAUAACUGAUAUUAUGUGUGGGAACUCUCCCACACCAUAUCUAAUUCUCUGAUGUCUUCUGAAAAGGAUGAAAGAGGUCAAACUCUUAUUACUCAUAAUUUACAUAGGCAUUUGGCUAUAACAUUGCUAAAUGUCGCAACACUUUAUAAAUCAAGUGAUUAACAAGAAAUCUUUGCAUUAUAUUUGUGUGCCAUUAUUUUUUAUUAUUAAAAGAAUGCUUAAAUGUCAA